GGGGAUGAUAUGGAUUCGACAGGGUGACUGACGCUAUCUGUUGCAUAUCGUGUUAGUCGUCAAACACGUAAAUACAAGCGACAACUUAUAAUAAACGCAGAAGAUAAUUUUGCAUUGGCUGCCUAAUUAAGCGGUAGCCCAUCUAUCUAACGGUUUGCCUAUUGGCUGUUAAAUAGGUGUCGACUUAAAUAGGAUAGUUCGGCAUUGUUCGGCGGGAUGACGAAUGAAACUUUUACCGACGAUGGCUUUUAAGUGCCUGUUGCUUGGCUUACUUAAAAGUAAGAUUUUAUAAAGUAACUAAAUAUGUAGAAGCAAUAGAAGAAGCUCUUUGGACGCGGGUUCAACUCCCGCCAUCUCCACGA
RNAcentral lists this transfer-messenger RNA (362 nucleotides) under Bacteroidota (CFB group bacteria). RNAcentral describes it as "JAAYTD01 sp012518115 Standard tmRNA". It matches the Rfam family "transfer-messenger RNA". From Rfam's summary of the family: Bacterial tmRNA, also known as 10Sa RNA or SsrA, is named for its dual tRNA and mRNA-like properties. Lineage: Bacteria; Pseudomonadati. RNAcentral also lists the same sequence under 2 other names. The record is from RNAcentral.